AUCUGGUUGAUCCUGCCGGAGGCUACCGCUAUUGGAGUUCGAUUAAGCCAUGCGAGUCGAGAGUCUUAGGGACUCGGCGUACCGCUCAGUAACACGUGGGUAACCUGCCCUAUGCUGGGGAAUAACCUCGGGAAACUGAGAAUAAUACCCCAUAGUUCACCACGCCUGGAACGGUGGGUGGAUGAAAGCUCCGGCGGCAUAGGAUGGGCCUGCGACGUAUCAGGUUGUAGGGGGUGUAACGUACCCUCUAGCCAUCAACGCGUACGGGUGUUGGGAGACAUAGCCCGGAGAUGGAUUCUGAGACACGAAUCCAGACCCUACGGGGUGCAGCAGGCGCGAAAACUUGGCAAUGCGAGCAAUCGUGACCAGGGAACUCCAAGUGGCUGGGGUAAUACCCAGUUUUUUCUUGACUCUUCAAAGGUCUUGGAAUAAGGGGUGGGUAAGGACGGUGCCAGCCGCCGCGGUAAUACCGGCGCCUCAAGUGGUAGUCGCUUUUAUUGGGCCUAAAACGUCCGUAGCCGGUCUGGUGCAUUCGUGGGUAAAUCAACCCGCUCAACGGGUUGAAUUCUGCGAGCACGGCCAGACUUGGGACCGGGAGAGGUGUGGAGUACUCUCAG
RNAcentral lists this ribosomal RNA (617 nucleotides) under uncultured Candidatus Poseidoniales archaeon. RNAcentral's name for it is "bacterial SSU rRNA". It matches the Rfam family "Archaeal small subunit ribosomal RNA", at positions 1 to 624 of the family's 1478-position model. The record is from RNAcentral. Lineage: Archaea; Methanobacteriati; Thermoplasmatota; Candidatus Poseidoniia; Candidatus Poseidoniales.